CUAUACAUGCAGUCGAGCGAACAGACGAGGAGCUUGCUCCUCUGACGUUAGCGGCGGACGGGUGAGUAACACGUGGAUAACCUACCUAUAAGACUGGGAUAACUUCGGGAAACCGGAGCUAAUACCGGAUAACAUGUUGAACCGCAUGGUUCAACAGUGAAAGACGGUCUUGCUGUCACUUAUAGAUGGAUCCGCGCCGCAUUAGCUAGUUGGUAAGGUAACGGCUUACCAAGGCAACGAUGCGUAGCCGACCUGAGAGGGUGAUCGGCCACACUGGAACUGAGACACGGUCCAGACUCCUACGGGAGGCAGCAGUAGGGAAUCUUCCGCAAUGGGCGAAAGCCUGACGGAGCAACGCCGCGUGAGUGAAGAAGGUCUUCGGAUCGUAAAACUCUGUUAUUAGGGAAGAACAAAUGUGUAAGUAACUAUGCACGUCUUGACGGUACCUAAUCAGAAAGCCACGGCUAACUACGUGCCAGCAGCGGCCGGUAAUAAA
RNAcentral lists this ribosomal RNA (496 nucleotides) under Staphylococcus capitis. RNAcentral describes it as "bacterial SSU rRNA". It matches the Rfam family "Bacterial small subunit ribosomal RNA", at positions 49 to 527 of the family's 1533-position model. Lineage: Bacteria; Bacillati; Bacillota; Bacilli; Caryophanales; Staphylococcaceae. The record is from RNAcentral.